CGGGGGGAGCAAGCGUUGUUCGGAUUUACUGGGCGUAAAGGGCGCGUAGGCGGCCAGCACAAGUCAGUUGUGAAAUCUCCGAGCUUAACUCGGAAAGGUCAACUGAUACUGUGCGGCUAGAGUGCGGAAGGGGCAACUGGAAUUCUUGGUGUAGCGGUGAAAUGCGUAGAUAUCAAGAGGAACACCUGCGGCGAAGGCGGGUUGCUGGGCCGACACUGACGCUGAGGCGCGAAAGCCAGGGGAGCGAACGGGAUUAGAUACCCCGGUAGUCCUGGCCUUAAACGAUGAAUGCUUGGUGUCUGGGGUUAUAAAGUCCCCGGGUGCCGUCGCUAACGCUUUAAGCAUUCCGCCUGGGGAGUACGGUCGCAAGACUG
This 374-nucleotide ribosomal RNA is filed under the name uncultured organism. RNAcentral's name for it is "bacterial SSU rRNA". It matches the Rfam family "Bacterial small subunit ribosomal RNA", at positions 526 to 896 of the family's 1533-position model. The record is from RNAcentral.